Molecule: long non-coding RNA, 262 nt
Filed under: Homo sapiens (human)
Lineage: Eukaryota; Metazoa; Chordata; Mammalia; Primates; Hominidae
Description: LHRI_LNC1170.1
Source: RNAcentral
CAGGUGGUAAGCGUUCAGUAAAGUCAGCGUUGAUUUAAUAGAUGAAUUGCUUAAUGGUGAACGAAGCCACUGCCACGAAUGGAGAGACAGGAUGAUUUGCCUCUCUGGGCUUGGGGACUGAUGUGUGAUCCGGUUUUAUUUGGGUCUUAGAGUACACUCCAGGCAUGCUCCAAGACCCUGUCCCGACUUCGGGCUUGUUAACUGGGCGACACUGAGCACCAAGUAGGUGCGAUCCCUGCCUUAGGACAGACACUGGCCCCCA